Molecule: ribosomal RNA, 492 nt
Filed under: uncultured bacterium
Lineage: Bacteria
Description: partial 16S ribosomal RNA
Rfam family: Bacterial small subunit ribosomal RNA
Source: RNAcentral
AGCGAACGCUGGCGGCAGGCCUAACACAUGCAAGUCGAACGGCAGCAUAGUAAGAGCUUGCUCUGACGGGUGGCGAGUGGGGGACGGGGGCGGAAGACAUCGGAAUCUACUUUUAAGUGGGGGUUAACAUAGGGAAACUUACGCUAAUACCGGAUACGUCCCACGUGUGAAAGCAGGUGAUCUUCGGACCAUGCGCGAAUGUACGAGCCGAUGACGGGUUAGCUAGUUGGCGGGGUGAAGGGCCACCAAGGCGACGAUCCGUAGCUGGUCUGAGAGGCUGUUCACCCACACUGGAACUGAGGCACGGUCCGGACUCCUGCGGGAGGCACCCGUGGGGAAUAUUGGACGAUGGGCGCAGGCCUGAUCCAGGCAUACCGGGUGGAUGAAGAAGGCCUUCGGGUUGUAAAGCCCUUUUGUUGGGACAGAAAAGCAGCCGGUUAAUACCCCGCUGUUCUGACGGUACCCAAAGAAUAAGCCCCGGCUAACUUCGUG